UACGGAGGAUGCGAGCGUUAUCCGGAUUUAUUGGGUUUAAAGGGUGCGUAGGCGGGAUGCCAAGUCAGCGGUAAAAAUGCGGUGCUCAACGCCGUCGAGCCGUUGAAACUGGCGUUCUUGAGUGGGCGAGAAGUAUGCGGAAUGCGUGGUGUAGCGGUGAAAUGCAUAGAUAUCACGCAGAACUCCGAUUGCGAAGGCGGUAUACCGGCGCCCUACUGACGCUGAGGCACGAAAGCGUGGGUAUCGAACAGG
Molecule: ribosomal RNA, 252 nt
Filed under: uncultured bacterium
Lineage: Bacteria
Description: partial 16S ribosomal RNA
Rfam family: Bacterial small subunit ribosomal RNA
Source: RNAcentral